This 1520-nucleotide ribosomal RNA is filed under the name Neisseria meningitidis 2004032. Its description in RNAcentral is "bacterial SSU rRNA". It matches the Rfam family "Bacterial small subunit ribosomal RNA". Lineage: Bacteria; Pseudomonadati; Pseudomonadota; Betaproteobacteria; Neisseriales; Neisseriaceae. The record is from RNAcentral.
GAGUUUGAUCCUGGCUCAGAUUGAACGCUGGCGGCAUGCUUUACACAUGCAAGUCGGACGGCAGCACAGGAAGCUUGCUUCUUGGGUGGCGAGUGGCGAACGGGUGAGUAACAUAUCGGAACGUACCGAGUAGUGGGGGAUAACUGAUCGAAAGAUCAGCUAAUACCGCAUACGUCUUGAGAGGGAAAGCAGGGGACCUUCGGGCCUUGCGCUAUUCGAGCGGCCGAUAUCUGAUUAGCUGGUUGGUGGGGUAAAGGCUCACCAAGGCGACGAUCAGUAGCGGGUCUGAGAGGAUGAUCCGCCACACUGGGACUGAGACACGGCCCAGACUCCUACGGGAGGCAGCAGUGGGGAAUUUUGGACAAUGGGCGCAAGCCUGAUCCAGCCAUGCCGCGUGUCUGAAGAAGGCCUUCGGGUUGUAAAGGACUUUUGUCAGGGAAGAAAAGGCUGUUGCUAAUACAGCGGCGAUGACGGUACCUGAAGAAUAAGCACCGGCUAACUACGUGCCAGCAGCCGCGGUAAUACGUAGGGUGCGAGCGUUAAUCGGAAUUACUGGGCGUAAAGCGGGCGCAGACGGUUACUUAAGCAGAUGUGAAAUCCCCGGGCUCAACCCGGGAACUGCGUUCUGAACUGGGUGACUGAGUGUGUCAGAGGGAGGUAGAAUUCCACGUGUAGCAGUGAAAUGCGUAGAGAUGUGGAGGAAUACCGAUGGCGAAGGCAGCCUCCUGGGAAACACUGACGUUCAUGCCCGAAAGCGUGGGUAGCAAACAGGAUUAGAUACCCUGGUAGUCCACGCCCUAAACGAUGUCAAUUAGCUGUUGGGCAACUUGAUUGCUUGGUAGCGUAGCUAACGCGUGAAAUUGACCGCCUGGGGAGUACGGUCGCAAGAUUAAAACUCAAAGGAAUUGACGGGGACCCGCACAAGCGGUGGAUGAUGUGGAUUAAUUCGAUGCAACGCGAAGAACCUUACCUGGUCUUGACAUGUACGGAAUCCUCCAGAGACGGAGGAGUGCCUUCGGGAGCCGUAACACAGGUGCUGCAUGGCUGUCGUCAGCUCGUGUCGUGAGAUGUUGGGUUAAGUCCCGCAACGAGCGCAACCCUUGUCAUUAGUUGCCAUCAUUCAGUUGGGCACUCUAAUGAGACUGCCGGUGACAAGCCGGAGGAAGGUGGGGAUGACGUCAAGUCCUCAUGGCCCUUAUGACCAGGGCUUCACACGUCAUACAAUGGUCGGUACAGAGGGUAGCCAAGCCGCGAGGGGAGCCAAUCUCACAAAACCGAUCGUAGUCCGGAUUGCACUCUGCAACUCGAGUGCAUGAAGUCGGAAUCGCUAGUAAUCGCAGGUCAGCAUACUGCGGUGAAUACGUUCCCGGGUCUUGUACACACCGCCCGUCACACCAUGGGAGUGGGGGAUACCAGAAGUAGGUAGGGUAACCGCAAGGAGUCCGCUUACCACGGUAUGCUUCAUGACUGGGGUGAAGUCGUAACAAGGUAGCCGUAGGGGAACCUGCGGCUGGAUCACC